UACGGAGGAUCCGAGCGUUAUCCGGAUUUAUUGGGUUUAAAGGGUGCGCAGGCGGGAGAUUAAGUCGGCGGUGAAAUUUUGCAGCUCAACUGUAAAAGUGCCUUCGAAACUGGUUUCCUUGAGUGUAGAUGAAGUAGGCGGAAUUUGUGGUGUAGCGGUGAAAUGCAUAGAUAUCACGAGGAACUCCGAUUGCGCAGGCAGCUUACUAAGCCAUAACUGACGCUCAAGCACGAAGGCGUGGGGAGUCAAACAGGAUUAGAUACCCGGGUAGU
RNAcentral lists this ribosomal RNA (272 nucleotides) under uncultured prokaryote. Its description in RNAcentral is "partial 16S ribosomal RNA". It matches the Rfam family "Bacterial small subunit ribosomal RNA", at positions 524 to 794 of the family's 1533-position model. The record is from RNAcentral.